GCGAAUGGCUCAUUAAAUCAGCUAUGGUUUAUUGGAUCGUACCUGUCAGAUGGAUAACUGUAAUAACUCUAGAGCUAAUACAUGCCUUGAUGCCCUGACCUGCAAAGGGAUGGGUGCACUUAUUAGACUAGAAGCCAACCGUGUACUGCCGUAAGGUGGUGCGCGUUGUGUUUCUGGUGACUCUGGAUAAUUGUUACAGAUCGCAUUCGGCCUUGAGCCGGCGACGGGUCCUUCAAAUGUCUGCCCUAUCAACUGUCGAUGGUAGGUGACCUGCCUACCAUGGUGAUAACGGGUAACGGGGAAUCAGGGUUCGAUUCCGGAGAGGGAGCCUGAGAAACGGCUACCACUUCCAAGGGAGGCAGCAGGCGCGCAACUUACCCACUCCCGGCACGGGGAGGUGGUGACGAAAAAUAUCGAUGCGGGACUCUUUAAGAGGCCCCGUAAUCGGAAUGAGUGAACUAUAAAUCCUUUGACGAGGAUCAAUUGGAGGGCAAGUCUGGUGCCAGCAGCCGCGGUAACUCCAGCUCCAAUAGCGUAUAUUAAAGUUGCUGCAGUUAAAAAGCUCGUAGUUGGAUCUCGGUAGCACUGAGGCCUGUCGUUGGUGUGCAGUAUGGCUAUUGAUGCAUGGGCGCUGCCUGUGUCGUCGUGGUCGGCUGUUGCAACUCGGCAUGGCGUUGGUGUCGCCUUUCAGCCAUGUCUGUGGUGCAAUACCCACAGGUGUAGGCGAGUGUCAGGCGGUGCUUUGCGACAGCAAGGUCCGUCGGCUCGUUUGCAUGCCUUCGGAUGCCCUUCAAAAGGUGUCCGCGGGCGGAUGGCACGUUUACUUUGAACAAAUUUGAGUGCUCAAACCAGGCCGCAGUUGCCUGAAAAGUUUUGCAUGGAAUAAUGGAAUAGGACUUCGGUUCUAUUUUGUUGGUUUUCGGAUCCGAAGUAAUGAUCAAAAGAGACAGGCGGGGACGUUUGUAUGGCUGCGCUAGAGGUGAAAUUCAUGGACCGUAGCCAGACAAACUAAAGCGAAAGCAUUCGUCAAGCAUGUUUUCAUUGACCAUGAGCGAAAGUCAGAGGCUCGAAGACGAUCAGAUACCGUCCUAGUUCUGACCAUAAACGAUGCCAACUGACGAUCCGUGGUGGUAGUCUAUUCACCUUCCCCACGGGCAGCCCCCGGGAAACCAUUAAGUCUUUGGGUUCCGGGGGAAGUAUGGUUGCAAAGCUGAAACUUAAAGGAAUUGACGGAAGGGCACCACCAGGAGUGGAGCCUGCGGCUUAAUUUGACUCAACACGGGAAAACUCACCCGGGCCGGACACUAUGAGGAUUGACAGAUUGAUAGCUCUUUCUUGAUUCAGUGGUUGGUGGUGCAUGGCCGUUCUUAGUUGGUGGAGCGAUUUGUCUGGUUAAUUCCGAUAACGAACGAGACUCUGGCCUGCUAAUUAGUGCGUCUGUCCACUGUUCCUGUGUAGGCGGCGUUCAACACGGCUGCUUCCUUUCGCUGUUGUAGGCUUGGCGGUCCUUUCGGGGGUCGUCAGGUUUGCAAUGGUUGGUGGUGGCUUGCUUGGCGUUAGCUUCCGGGUACGGCGCGGAUGUUUACUUCUUAGAGGGACAAUCGGAAUAAACCGCACGAGAUAGAGCAAUAACAGGUCUGUGAUGCCCUUAGAUGUCCGGGGCCGCACGCGCGCUACAAUGACGGUGGCAACGAGUCAGACCUUCUGGCCCGAAAGGGUUGGACAAACUGGUCAAUCACCGUCAUGACAGGGAUCGGGGCUUGUAAUUGUUCCCCGUGAACGAGGAAUUCCUAGUAAGUGCAAGUCAUAAGCUUGCGCUGAUUACGUCCCUGCCCUUUGUACACACCGCCCGUCGCUACUACCGAUUGAAUGGUUUAGUGAGGUCCUUGGAUCGGCGCCAUUGUGGCUAUUGCCGAAAGGUGAUAGUCCGACGUGUGCUGAGAAGACGACCUAACUUGAUCAUUUAGAGGAAGUAAAAGUCGUAACAAG
Molecule: ribosomal RNA, 1989 nt
Filed under: Anthocephalum cf. centrurum LRP4219
Lineage: Eukaryota; Metazoa; Platyhelminthes; Cestoda; Rhinebothriidea; Anthocephaliidae
Description: SSU rRNA
Rfam family: Eukaryotic small subunit ribosomal RNA
Source: RNAcentral